Molecule: transfer RNA, 89 nt
Filed under: Deltaproteobacteria bacterium
Lineage: Bacteria; Pseudomonadati; Myxococcota; Myxococcia
Description: tRNA-Ser
Rfam family: tRNA
About the family: Transfer RNA (tRNA) molecules are approximately 80 nucleotides in length.
Source: RNAcentral
GGAGAGAUGGCCGAGCGGCUGAAGGCGCACGCUUGGAAAGCGUGUGUACCCAAAAGGUACCGUGGGUUCGAAUCCCACUCUCUCCGCCA